RNAcentral lists this non-coding RNA (95 nucleotides) under Limosilactobacillus vaginalis. RNAcentral's name for it is "Lactobacillus vaginalis THF-I sequence". It matches the Rfam family "THF (Tetrahydrofolate) riboswitch aptamer". Rfam says of the family: THF riboswitch presents a pseudoknot that joins P1-P2 and the loop of P3 and two THF binding. The record is from RNAcentral. Lineage: Bacteria; Bacillati; Bacillota; Bacilli; Lactobacillales; Lactobacillaceae.
UGUUGGGGUAGGAAUUACCGAGUUAUUGUCCAGCGGAACGGAAUGUGAACGCUGGAAGGAAGUAUUAGCUGCUUGAUAAUUUCGCAUUCACCACA